Molecule: ribosomal RNA, 640 nt
Filed under: uncultured bacterium
Lineage: Bacteria
Description: bacterial SSU rRNA
Rfam family: Bacterial small subunit ribosomal RNA
Source: RNAcentral
ACGCCGCGGGGCUGCAUGGCCCUGCGGCCAAAGGGAGCGAUUCCGGCAACGGAUGGGCAUGCGUGACAUUAGCUAGUUGGCGGGGCAACGGCCCACCAAGGCGACGAUGUCUAGGGGUUCUGAGAGGAAGGUCCCCCACACUGGUACUGAGACACGGACCAGACUCCUACGGGAGGCAGCAGUGAGGAAUAUUGGUCAAUGGGCGCGAGCCUGAACCAGCCAAGUCGCGUGAGGGAUGACGGCCCUACGGGUUGUAAACCUCUUUUGUCGGGGAGCAAAUUCCGCCACGUGUGGCGGAGUCGAGAGUACCCGAAGAAAAAGCAUCGGCUAACUCCGUGCCAGCAGCCGCGGUAAUACGGAGGAUGCGAGCGUUAUCCGGAUUUAUUGGGUUUAAAGGGUGCGUAGGCGGACUGUCAAGUCAGCGGUAAAAUACGGGGGCUCAACCUCCGCCCGCCGUUGAAACUGACGGUCUUGAGUGGGCGAGAAGUAUGCGGAAUGCGUGGUGUAGCGGUGAAAUGCAUAGAUAUCACGCAGAACUCCGAUUGCGAAGGCAGCAUACCGGCGCCCAACUGACGCUGAAGCACGAAAGCGUGGGUAUCGGACAGGAUUAGAUACCCUGGUAGUCCACGCAGUAAACGAU